AACGCUGGCGGCAGGCCUAACACAUGCAAGUCGAGCGGAAACGAUCCUAGCUUGCUAGGAGGCGUCGAGCGGCGGACGGGUGAGUAAUGCAUAGGAAUCUGCCCGGUAGUGGGGGAUAACCUGAGGAAACUCAGGCUAAUACCGCAUACGUCCUACGGGAGAAAGCAGGGGCUCUUCGGACCUUGCGCUAUCGGAUGAGCUUAUGUCGGAUUAGCUGGUUGGUGAGGUAACGGCUCACCAAGGCGACGAUCCGUAGCUGGUCUGAGAGGAUGAUCAGCCACAUCGGGACUGAGACACGGCCCGAACUCCUACGGGAGGCAGCAGUGGGGAAUAUUGGACAAUGGGGGCAACCCUGAUCCAGCCAUGCCGCGUGUGUGAAGAAGGCUUUCGGGUUGUAAAGCACUUUCAGUGAGGAAGAAGGCUUGUCGGUUAAUACCCGGCAAGAAAGACAUCACUCACAGAAGAAGCACCGGCUAACUCCGUGCCAGCAGCCGCGGUAAUACGGAGGGUGCGAGCGUUAAUCGGAAUUACUGGGCGUAAAGCGUGCGUAGGCGGCUUGAUAAGCCGGUUGUGAAAGCCCCGGGCUCAACCUGGGAACGGCAUCCGGAACUGUCAGGCUAGAGUGCAGGAGAGGAAGGUAGAAUUCCCGGUGUAGCGGUGAAAUGCGUAGAGAUCGGGAGGAAUACCAGUGGCGAAGGCGGCCUUCUGGACUGACACUGACGCUGAGGUACGAAAGCGUGGGUAGCAAACAGGAUUAGAUACCCUGGUAGUCCACGCCGUAAACGAUGUCGACUAGCCGUUGGGGUCCUCGAGACCUUUGUGGCGCAGUUAACGCACUAAGUCGACCGCCUGGGGAGUACGGCCGCAAGGUUAAAACUCAAAUGAAUUGACGGGGGCCCGCACAAGCGGUGGAGCAUGUGGUUUAAUUCGAUGCAACGCGAAGAAACCUUACCUACCCUUGACAUCGUGCGAACUUUCCAGAGAUGGAUUGGUGCCUUCGGGAACGCACAGACAGGUGCUGCAUGGCUGUCGUCAGCUCGUGUUGUGAAAUGUUGGGUUAAGUCCCGUAACGAGCGCAACCCUUGUCCCUAUUUGCCAGCGAUUCGGUCGGGAACUCUAGGGAGACUGCCGGUGACAAACCGGAGGAAGGUGGGGACGACGUCAAGUCAUCAUGGCCCUUACGGGUAGGGCUACACACGUGCUACAAUGGCCGGUACAGUGGGUUGCAAAGCGGCGACGUGGAGCUAAUCCCAUAAAGCCGGUCUCAGUCCGGAUCGGAGUCUGCAACUCGACUCCGUGAAGUCGGAAUCGCUAGUAAUCGUGCAUCAGAAUGGCACGGUGAAUACGUUCCCGGGCCUUGUACACACCGCCCGUCACACCAUGGGAGUGGACUGCACCAGAAGUGGUUAGCCUAACUUCGGAGGGCGAUCACCACGGUGUGGUUCAUGACUGGGGUGAAGUCGUAACAAGGUAGCCGUAGGGGAACCUGCGUG
This 1493-nucleotide ribosomal RNA is filed under the name Halomonas sp. Set79. Its description in RNAcentral is "bacterial SSU rRNA". It matches the Rfam family "Bacterial small subunit ribosomal RNA". The record is from RNAcentral. Lineage: Bacteria; Pseudomonadati; Pseudomonadota; Gammaproteobacteria; Oceanospirillales; Halomonadaceae.